Molecule: non-coding RNA, 28 nt
Filed under: Rattus norvegicus (Norway rat)
Lineage: Eukaryota; Metazoa; Chordata; Mammalia; Rodentia; Muridae
Source: RNAcentral
UUCCAAGCAAAGUGGGGACAGUCUAGAC